AUUUGAAAUUGUCUUAGAUUUACAGAAAGAUUGCAAAGAUAUUACAGAGUGUUCAUGGGAUGCCAUGACUUAUGUAUUUAAUUUUUAACAUUUUCCGUUAGUGUGUUCUAUGUGAAUUACCACCUAUUCAACCCUUUGGUAAAGGAGGGAUUCCUGCUCUAGGAUUAUGGGAUGGCCAAACACACAAGACCCAACACUGGUCAGAUGAGCCCAAAGGACACUGCACACCAUGCAAGACCACCUGGGAAUUGAACUUGAGAACAGAGUGAACAACCAGGGACUGUGGGAGAAAGGCUUUGUAGGAUAGAGAGGGUGGAAUGCCUUCUACUUCCCAUGGGAAUAGUUUGUUUGAAUAACUUUGUGAGCUGGUAGGGAAGUGAAACCCCCAGCUCAGGGAGAAGCAAGAAAUUCACCUGGUCUGUUUGAUGAGGAGAGUUAUUUGGCUGGAGACCUUGUCCCUGGGAGCACAGAGGAGAAGGUGACCAGUUUAGCUCUGACCAUUUGGCUUUUGUGUCACUUUGAUAUAAUCCCAGCAUUGGCUGGGGGGGGACUUUUUUGACCUCUUUCUUAAAUUCUGGAAAAUCAAGAUGCUCCAAGCUCGUCUUAUAUAAUUCCUGCCCCAAUCAGCCAUUUCUCCAAAGGGUCCUGGUUCCUUUUAUUGGAGGAUGGUGUUAGAAAGCAAAAACCAAUCUGUAUGUUCUAAUCCACAUGCAUACACACAUCUAAAAAUACUUCUAUGUGUAACCAUGUAUAUUUAUAUUAAAUGAAACUUGAGUUUUUACUGAUGUCUCCAACUCGAAUCCAUUACUACAUGGAUUAUUAAUGCUUUCUCUUGCUUAUCUCUGCUGUUACUUUCAAUCCCAACAGUGAAAACCUGGCUCUCACCAUCCACCAUUCAUUUAUUCAGUUGUUCGGUUCCUGUAUAUGUGUAUAGUGGUUUCAUAGUUGUUAACCUGUAUUCCAAUGAAUAACAAUAUUAUCAACUAGAGUACAGAGCUGACACAGAGUUCCCUUGCAUUUAAUCUUUCAGACUGCCCUUAUUUCCCAAGUUACCUAGCUCAUUGCUCCCCGACCCCACGCCAUCUCUUCAGUGAAGAUGUUGCAUACAUUUGUAAUAACAGUUAAAUACUUUUGUCACAUUCUGCAUAUAGUCCUAUGAUCCUCUGACCUACUUAAUUAUUUGUUUAAUUGGCAUGGAUUAAGAUUCAUUUCUCUGCUGUAAAUUCUUUGGGUUUUGACAAAUGCGUCAUAUCAUGUACCACCAUUACAAUGUCAUACAAAAUAGUUUUGCUGCCCUAAAACUCUUCCUGCGUUUCACCUAUUUGAUCAUUUCCCUCCCUCUUCCUGAACCCCUCAUCUGUUUUGUCUUUUCCAGAAUGUUAUUGAAACAGAAUCAUGUAGAGUACAUAGCUUUCUGACCAACUUUCACUUAGAAAAAUGGGUUGACAAUUCAUGCAUGUCUUUCAUGUGUCUUCAUAACUCAUUUUCCAUUACCACCAAAUAAUAUUCUAUUAUAUGUGUGCACCAUAGUUUGUUUAUCUAUUCAGCUAUGGAAGGGCAUCUUGGGUGCUUCAGGUUUUGGCAAUUGUGAUAGGGCUGCCAUAAACAAUCGUAUGCAAAUUUUUGUGUUAACAUAAGUUUUCGAGUCAAUUGGGUAAAUGCCUAGAACUCCAAUUGCCAAAUUAUAUAGUAAGACCAUUUAGUGUUAAAGAACCUGCCAAACUGUCUUCCAAAGUGGCCGUAUUAUUUUUUAUUACUCCAGCAAUGAAUGAGUGUUACUGCUGUUCCACAUUUUGCUGACAAUUGUUACUGUCAGUUUUUUGAAUUUUAGCCAUUCUAAUAGUUGCAUAGUGGUACCUCAUUGUUGUUUUAAUUUGCAUUUCCCUAAUGACAAAUGAUGUUGAACGUCUUUACUGUUUGUAAGUUUUUUGGUGAUGUAUCUGUUUAGGUGUUUUGCCUGUUUUUUAUUGGUUUGCAUGCUCUCUUAUUGUUGUGUUUUAAGAGAUAAACUCUGUUAUUUUGGUUACACAUCCUUUAUCAAAUAUAUGUUUUGCA
RNAcentral lists this long non-coding RNA (2055 nucleotides) under Homo sapiens (human). RNAcentral's name for it is "HSALNT0341695". The record is from RNAcentral. Lineage: Eukaryota; Metazoa; Chordata; Mammalia; Primates; Hominidae.